This is a long non-coding RNA of Oncorhynchus gorbuscha (pink salmon), 1794 nucleotides long. RefSeq lists it as uncharacterized. The record is from RefSeq and is a predicted model, not a curated record. Lineage: Eukaryota; Metazoa; Chordata; Actinopteri; Salmoniformes; Salmonidae. The transcript has 3 exons.
UUUAAAUGACGGUUCAAACAUUAUUAUUUGUUUCAGCUCUAUUAAAUUAAGUGGUUUCCCAAGAGUUCCAUGCGCUAAUGACUGUAUUGUAUGUAUCAAAAUAGGCUCAAGCGAAAAUAAACUUUUAUGUCCACAACUAAGAAUGGACGGACAAGCACUUUCAUUUUCUGCUGCUGAUGAAAAUAGCCAAAAUGUCGGAAAGAAAAACCAAACUAAAGGAACGAAAGGACAGGCAAUGAAAGACAUUGAGGCCUUCGGGGAAACCCUAUAUUAAUCAUAAGGGGCAAAAAAACUGGGAAAACUUGUCCAAAAGAGCAAGGUGAGUUGUCACUGGGGUCAGACGGACAGUGGUGGUGUUGGGUGGCCUUACCUCCAGUGACGGAGCCGGUGUGGAGCCAGAGAGACAACAGCAGCGUGCUGAUCAGCUGGGCAUGUGGUAUCCUAUGGCUGUCCUGCUCCGUUGGUCGGUCUGGCCUGAUGCUGAAAGUGGAAAGAGCGGUUUGUAUGUGGGACACUGGCUCUUCUAGGUCUAUAGACAUUGGCACACAUCCGCUAGUUCCAGACCGCAGGAUUCUGCACAUGCACAGAUACAAUAGAACCAUCCAUCGAUUGGUGGAAUGAAUCUGUCUCCAGCCCGCCCGGGUAGGCCAUUGUCAUGACAACCGCUUUGAUUUUUGUAGUACUUUCUCUUAGUUGGGUGUAUUGCUGCUCAGUGCAUGUCAUUGAUCUGGAUCUGUAUAGCAGGCCUUGGGCGGACAUAGCUGCGAUGUGAAGGAUAUAGAGUAUUAGGAAGGUGCUAGGAUAGAGCUUCUUCGCUGGCAAAGGAACUACUACAUCAAUUGAUGGUAAAAUGUCAUGCUGUGGUGUACAAAACAAAUCUAUGUGCCUGAGUGUGUUAGUGCGUGUUUGUUCGUGUGUGUGUGUUAGUACAUGUGUGUGUGCAUGUGACCUGCUCUGAGCCAACCAAAAUAUCAACAUUUUCUAAAUAAUAUACAGUAUAUCUCAUUCAAUUAUUUAAUCAUAGCUAGUAUGCUGGCAUCAUCAGGUUACUAUACAAAUGGGACAAUUGAGGCCAUUGAACGUAUUGACUAGGUUUGGUAGUGUUAGUCUGCACAUUACAUUGUAUAUGUGUUUGUGUGUCAGUGUUACCAGCGAGCUCAGUCCCUAUGCGUGACACAGUGACCCAAGCCAAUAAUGUAUCUAAGGCUUCAGGCGAGAUCACGUUUAAUUAAUUAGAGAGACAAUAAAUGAGGCAAUCAAUGGUCAAUCGUUCCAUCUGUUUGUGUAGAGCAAACAUCUUUUGGAAUGUGACCUAUACACAGACAAAACACAGAUCUUAUGACCCCACUAAAGAAUGAUAAUUUAAGUUUAGGCAUAGGGGAGAGUGGGGUACAUUAAGCCAAAUGGGUAAGUUUGUUUCUAGAAAUAUAUACACCAAAUUAAUAAUUUGACAAAAUAUUUAAGAAGAUGUUAUCAUUUCAUGGAGUUUGUGAAGGAACCAACCAAAUGGAAAAAGUGUUAAGUUAGGUAUAAAAAAACAGAUUUUUAUGGAGACCCCCCUUAUUGGGGUCUCCAUAAGCUUCAAUAUGAGGUCCUAAACAUAGUAUGAAAGUGCAUCCUGAGAUAUAUAGUUAAAAUGUUGGCCAUGAGGUAAGUUGAGCAAUUAGAUGUUUUUUGUUCCAAGGCACUAUCACUGGAAUAUAUAUAUAUAUAUAUAUGUUUACCUUUAUUUAACUAUGCAGGUCAGUUAAGAACAAAUUCUUAUUUUCAACGAUGGCCUCGGAACAGUGGGUU